This is a long non-coding RNA of Bufo bufo (common toad), 161 nucleotides long. RefSeq lists it as uncharacterized. The record is from RefSeq and is a predicted model, not a curated record. NCBI's taxonomy places the organism in Eukaryota, Metazoa, Chordata, Amphibia, Anura, Bufonidae. The transcript has 3 exons.
GAGGGUCGGUGCAGCCGAUGCUAUCAAUGGCGAUGGCCAAGUGGGGAGAAGAAUUACACAGGAAUGAGCAGCAGUAUGGUAUCUGCCACGUCUCUGGAUGGAUAGUCAUAGACGGUCGUGUCUUGUGCCUACUGACUAUCUAUCCAGAGACGUGGCAGAUA